CAACAAGCGGCCACCGCCCCCACCCCGGGGCGGGCAGAAGCGCAGCAACCCCGCGGUGCUCCCGGAAGACACCGCGUCUCCAACAUUUACACGGAGAUGCUGCUCGGCUCAGGUCGGGUCCGUACGCUUCCCGAGGUUCCGACCUGAAUCUGAAAGUGCUUCUAAACCCCAUGCUUCACAGAACGUUCGGAGGGGGAGGCGCUCCGUGGGGGCUGCUGCGUGCCCAUGUAGCCGAACUGACUCGAAUAAAAGCGUGUCCACGUCUACAUCACACAUCUGUGUAAAUGCAGAAGCCUGCGGAUGCGCGGGGCUGGCCAGACUUCACAGUGUGCAGACACAUGGGCUCAUGCACGCGCACGCGCGCGCUCACACACACACCCCAAAUUACCUCCGGGAUGGAGAAAGCCGCUGCGGAUUGGCCAGCAGAGCCGUCACUCACGCCCAGGGGGCAGGGAGACUUCGCAAAGCUGUUUCCUUUUUUUUUUUUCCUCCUCUCCUCCCUACCGUUUCAUUUAAUGGUAAAACAACAGCAGAGCUCUGAAAGUUAGCCAUCUGCGCAGAGUUUGCCUUCUUUAAGGAGGGAGGCGUCAGACGAUAUCCAUUUAAAUAUAUUUUGUACUUCCACAAAGGAUGGAAAGGGAAAUUCACGAAGGGAGUGGAGGCGGAAAGGGAGCUCCGAGAAAGAAGGAGGGGUCAUUCCGCGGGGGGCGGGGGGGGGGGCGGGGGCCGACGCAGGGGAAAGAGUUGCUCUCUACACCGAAAAGGGACUUUGACCUUCCAUUGAUCUCGAAAUUCAAAAACGUUUCUUCACAGGUCAGAUUGUAACAAACACUCGUUCCUAAUUUAUGAACUCGCCGUUUUGAUUUUAUUAUUUAAGCAUGCGCCAGCAAUCGUGUUUCCUUAAGAAAGAACUGACCUAUUUUUGGCUGGAGAUAAACGAUCAUGUUAACAGAUGUUAAUCUUGUAAUCUGUUUUUCCUGUAAGCACUUUACCUAGCCGGGUUUCAGACCUUAAAAAUAACAUCUUUUCCAAAAAGACCUGACGUCACAAUUCACUCCCUGAAAAAUCACACUCCCCCUCCAGUUUCUUCCCCUGCAAUGAUUUCAAAGACAUUAAAUCUUUUCCACUUUAUAAAUGCUGAUCUGUUCUGCCUCUACUCCCACAGGCUCUUAUUUGCAUUUCAAAUUCCACAGGUUACACCAGUCGCCUUUUCAAAAAAUGUAAACCAACAAUGCAGCAGCAAAUGGCUUUUUGUGCAUCUGGAUUAAAUAAAGCACAGAAUGAAUAUAUUUAAAA
RNAcentral lists this long non-coding RNA (1296 nucleotides) under Homo sapiens (human). Its description in RNAcentral is "HSALNT0395236". Lineage: Eukaryota; Metazoa; Chordata; Mammalia; Primates; Hominidae. The record is from RNAcentral.